This 465-nucleotide ribosomal RNA is filed under the name Vreelandella stevensii. RNAcentral describes it as "partial 16S ribosomal RNA". It matches the Rfam family "Bacterial small subunit ribosomal RNA", at positions 338 to 795 of the family's 1533-position model. Lineage: Bacteria; Pseudomonadati; Pseudomonadota; Gammaproteobacteria; Oceanospirillales; Halomonadaceae. The record is from RNAcentral.
CCUACGGGUGGCAGCAGUGGGGAAUAUUGGACAAUGGGGGCAACCCUGAUCCAGCCAUGCCGCGUGUGUGAAGAAGGCCCUCGGGUUGUAAAGCACUUUCAGUGAGGAAGAACGCCUGGUGGUUAAUACCCAUCAGGAAAGACAUCACUCACAGAAGAAGCACCGGCUAACUCCGUGCCAGCAGCCGCGGUAAUACGGAGGGUGCGAGCGUUAAUCGGAAUUACUGGGCGUAAAGCGCGCGUAGGUGGCUUGAUAAGCCGGUUGUGAAAGCCCCGGGCUCAACCUGGGAACGGCAUCCGGAACUGUCAAGCUAGAGUGCAGGAGAGGAAGGUAGAAUUCCCGGUGUAGCGGUGAAAUGCGUAGAGAUCGGGAGGAAUACCAGUGGCGAAGGCGGCCUUCUGGUCUGACACUGACACUGAGGUGCGAAAGCGUGGGUAGCAAACAGGAUUAGAUACCCCGGUAGUC